AAAAAGCUACUGCAAACACUGAUUUAUUGCCAAAGGAUACACAGAAAUCUGAAAAUGUAAACGCUAUCUGUACUCAUUUGAAUACUGUGAAUUGUAUAAACAGUAGUUAUCUUUUACAGCUUCAGAGAUCAGGUAACUGAAACAUUUAACAUAACCACAGGUAUAAAUAGUCCUAUAAAAAUACAAAUUAAUUCUUGUCCAUCCAGUGUUCUGCAGUAAGUUUGAUGGCAAAGUAUCUUAUUAGAACAGAGAUGAAGAUCAAAAAUGUAUGUAUUUUCUUAGUUAUAUAACUUGUAUAUGAAAAAUUAUGAUAGGAGAGUAUUUAAGCCCAAUGUAUCUAAGGGUACAUUUUCAUUUUAAAUACUAGACUGCAAUUCCAAUGUUUUUUGCAUGUUUAAAGCAUAUUUUAUUAAUCAGCAUGAUUUGAUUUAAGAAACAUGCCUGACGUGAUGUUAAACCCUAUAUUGCAUAUUUUGACAUCACUCAAAAUGUG
Non-coding RNA from Pelobates cultripes (western spadefoot toad), 493 nucleotides. NCBI's taxonomy places the organism in Eukaryota, Metazoa, Chordata, Amphibia, Anura, Pelobatidae. The record is from the annotation of a GenBank genome assembly.